GAACGGCAGCACGGGUGCUUGCACCUGGUGGCGAGUGGCGAACGGGUGAGUAAUAUAUCGGAACGUACCCAGUAAUGGGGGAUAACUAACCGAAAGGUUAGCUAAUACCGCAUACGCCCUGAGGGGGAAAGCGGGGGAUCGAAAGACCUCGCGUUAUUGGAGCGGCCGAUAUCUGAUUGGCUAGUUGGUGGGGUAAAGGCUCACCAAGGCGACGAUCAGUAGCUGGUCUGAGAGGAUGAUCAGCCACACUGGAACUGAGACACGGUCCAGACUCCUACGGGAGGCAGCAGUGGGGAAUUUUGGACAAUGGGCGAAAGCCUGAUCCAGCCAUUCCGCGUGAGUGAAGAAGGCCUUCGGGUUGUAAAGCUCUUUCGGCAGGAACGAAACGGUCUAGGAUAAUACCUUGGGCUAAUGACGGUACCUGAAGAAGAAGCACCGGCUAACUACGUG
This 450-nucleotide ribosomal RNA is filed under the name uncultured bacterium. RNAcentral's name for it is "bacterial SSU rRNA". It matches the Rfam family "Bacterial small subunit ribosomal RNA", at positions 64 to 507 of the family's 1533-position model. The record is from RNAcentral.